CGGACGGGUGAGUAACGCGUGAGUUACAUGCCCUGUAGCGGGGGAUAGCCCGGGGAAACCCGGAUUAAUACCCCAUGGUCCCGCAAGGGUAAAGACGGCUUCGGCUGUCGCUGCAGGAUUGGCUCGCGGCCUAUCAGCUUGUUGGCGGGGUAACGGCCCACCAAGGCUACGACGGGUAGCUGGUCUGAGAGGACGAUCAGUCACACUGGAACUGAGACACGGUCCAGACACCUACGGGUGGCAGCAGUCGAGAAUCAUUCACAAUGGGGGAAACCCUGAUGGUGCAACGCCGCGUGGAGGAUGACGGUCUUCGGAUUGUAAACUCCUGUCAUCUGGGAGUAAGACCUGACGGUCAAUAGCCGGCAGGGUUGAUAGUACCAGAAGAGGAAGGGACGGCUAACUUCGUGCCAGCAGCCGCGGUAAUACGAAGGUCCCAAGCGUUGUUCGGAAUCACUGGGCGUAAAGGGUGCGUAGGUGGUGCGGUAAGUCAGAUGUGAAAUCCCGGGGCUUAACCCCGGAACUGCAUCCGAUACUACCGUACUUGAGGACCGGAGAGGAGAUUGGAAUUCUCGGUGUAGCAGUGAAAUGCGUAGAGAUCGAGAGGAACACUCGUGGCGAAAGCGAGUCUCUGGACGGAUCCUGACGCUGAGGCACGAAGGCGGGGUAGCGAAAGGGAUUAGAUACCCCUGUAGUC
Molecule: ribosomal RNA, 694 nt
Filed under: uncultured Verrucomicrobiota bacterium
Lineage: Bacteria; Pseudomonadati; Verrucomicrobiota
Description: bacterial SSU rRNA
Rfam family: Bacterial small subunit ribosomal RNA
Source: RNAcentral